This 443-nucleotide ribosomal RNA is filed under the name uncultured bacterium. RNAcentral describes it as "partial 16S ribosomal RNA". It matches the Rfam family "Bacterial small subunit ribosomal RNA", at positions 338 to 795 of the family's 1533-position model. The record is from RNAcentral.
ACUACGGGAGGCAGCAGUGGGGAAUAUUGGGCAAUGGGCGCAAGCCUGACCCAGCAACGCCGCGUGAAGGAAGAAGGCUUUCGGGUUGUAAACUUCUUUUCCCAGGGACGAAGCAAGUGACGGUACCUGAGGAAUAAGCCACGGCUAACUACGUGCCAGCAGCCGCGGUAAUACGUAGGUGGCAAGCGUUAUCCGGAUUUACUGGGUGUAAAGGGCGUGUAGGCGGUACGGCAAGUCAGAUGUGAAAACCAUGGGCUCAACCUAUGGCCUGCAUUUGAAACUGUAGUUCUUGAGUACUGGAGAGGCAGGCGGAAUGCCUAGUGUAGCGGUGAAAUGCGUAGAUAUUAGGAGGAACACCAGUGGCGAAGGCGGUCUGCUGGACAGCAACUGACGCUGAGGCGCGAAAGCGUGGGGAGCAAACAGGAUUAGAUACCCCAGUAGUC